RNAcentral lists this transfer RNA (72 nucleotides) under Metschnikowia bicuspidata. Its description in RNAcentral is "tRNA-Arg". It matches the Rfam family "tRNA". Rfam says of the family: Transfer RNA (tRNA) molecules are approximately 80 nucleotides in length. Their secondary structure includes four short double-helical elements and three loops (D, anti-codon, and T loops). Further hydrogen bonds mediate the characteristic L-shaped molecular structure. tRNAs have two regions of fundamental functional importance: the anti-codon, which is responsible for specific mRNA codon recognition, and the 3' end, to which the tRNAs corresponding amino acid is attached (by aminoacyl-tRNA synthetases). tRNAs cope with the degeneracy of the genetic code in two manners: having more than one tRNA (with a specific anti-codon) for a particular amino acid; and 'wobble' base-pairing, i.e. permitting non-standard base-pairing at the 3rd anti-codon position. Lineage: Eukaryota; Fungi; Ascomycota; Pichiomycetes; Serinales; Metschnikowiaceae. The record is from RNAcentral.
UGACAUAUAACACAAUGGUAAGUGUAUUAUUCUACGGAAAUAAAAAUGUAAGUUCAAUUCUUACUAUGUCAU